RNAcentral lists this long non-coding RNA (1377 nucleotides) under Homo sapiens (human). Its description in RNAcentral is "LHRI_LNC991.1". The record is from RNAcentral. Lineage: Eukaryota; Metazoa; Chordata; Mammalia; Primates; Hominidae.
UGGCAACCCGCUCCGGUGUCCUUCCAUGCUGUGGAGGCUCUGUUGUUUCGCUCUUUCUACUGCUUACUCUUCGGGUCCACACUGCUUUUAUGAGCUGUAACACUCACCCUGAAGGUUUGCAACUUGACUCCUGAAGCCAGCAAGACCACGAGCCCCAGGGAGGAACGAACAACUCCAGACGCGCUGCCUUAAGAGCUGUAACACUCACCGAGAAGGUCUGCAGCUUCACUCCUGAGCCAGCGAGGCCACGAACCCACCAGAAGGAAGAAACUCUGAACACAUCCGAACAUCAGAAGGAACAAACUCCAGACGUGCCACCUUAAGAGCUGUUAACACUCACCGCGAGGGUCCGCGGCUUCAUUUUUGAAGUCAGUGAGACCAAGAACCAACCAAUUCGGGACACAAUACCAACUCUUUCAUGCCAGGAGAAGCCUCCUUAAAAAAUUUCGGUGAUUAACAGCAGCACAUGGGUCAAAAUCUCCUGAAAGUUGAGCAGGGGAGCUGUAGAAGAAUUCCUCCUUUUCUCGCAGAUGAAAUCUUAUGAUAUAGCAGGGGUUACCUGGCCAAGAAGGAACACAGAGGAGAACAAAGAAAAUUCAAGGAACUAAAUUCCUUCUCCACCUCAACCACCAGCAUUGAUACUCCAUCACUUAUGUACUGCAUCAAGCCGUCCUCAGAGGUGAGGAAGGUGCUGUCAAGACUAGAAGCAUGUGUCCCUCUCUCCAUUGCAAGAUGGGACAUAGAGAGGAGAAAAGUGGCAGACAGAAGGCUAAUCUCAACUGGAAACCAGAAGGCUAGAAAUCUUACUGAUGUGAUGUCCAGGGAUACAGAGCAUAUGAAGGAUGCAGAGAGUGGGUCAAAUGGAAGGAAUGUAGCAAAACAUGUAAACUUGAUACCAAAGAGAGGAAAAAAACAGCACAUCUCUCAUUGCAUGGCUCUUCCCGGCCAAGACACUCUGCCGACUGUGAGAGGACCAAGGGUGAAAGCAAAAAGAUCAACUGGGAGACUCCUGAAAUAAUCUUGACAAUGCCUGAGGGUGGCUUAGACCAAAGUAGAAGCAGUGAAGAUAACUGAAAGUUGUUGAAUUGUGGACAGAUUUCAAAGAGUCUUGCAGGUGUCCGGACCGGCUGGUGUCUCCUGGAGCAAACCAGCCCUCCUUCUUGUGGUAGGCAACUGCCUGGGUGCUAACUCCUCGGUGACAGCAGUGUAAAUGAUUCCAUUGGUCUUCUAGGAGGCAGGAACUUCACAGACCUCAGUGCAUAAUAACAAAUUCAAUGCUUAACAGGACUUGUCAUGCAUGGAAGGAGCUGCGGUCGCCACCACAGUGGUCACAGGACCACAAGUGUGAAGUGAAGAGCUGGCUCUGACAGUGAUUGC